GCUAAAUUAGUUUAUAAAAAUACCAGCCUGUGGAUCUGGAGAUAAGAAAUUUUCUUAUUUAGCC
RNAcentral lists this transfer RNA (64 nucleotides) under Tibia fusus. RNAcentral's name for it is "tRNA-His". It matches the Rfam family "tRNA". From Rfam's summary of the family: Transfer RNA (tRNA) molecules are approximately 80 nucleotides in length. Lineage: Eukaryota; Metazoa; Mollusca; Gastropoda; Littorinimorpha; Rostellariidae. The record is from RNAcentral.